AUUGAACGCUGGCGGCAUGCCUUACACAUGCAAGUCGAACGGUAACGGGCCUUCGGGUGCCGACGAGUGGCGAACGGGUGAGUAAUGCAUCGGAACGUACCUUCCAGUGGGGGAUAACGUAGCGAAAGUUACGCUAAUACCGCAUAUUCUGUGAGCAGGAAAGCAGGGGAUCGCAAGACCUUGCGCUGAUUGAGCGGCCGAUGUCAGAUUAGCUAGUUGGUGAGGUAAAGGCUCACCAAGGCGACGAUCUGUAGCGGGUCUGAGAGGAUGAUCCGCCACACUGGAACUGAGACACGGUCCAGACUCCUACGGGAGGCAGCAGUGGGGAAUUUUGGACAAUGGGGGCAACCCUGAUCCAGCCAUGCCGCGUGAGUGAAGAAGGCCUCGG
RNAcentral lists this ribosomal RNA (388 nucleotides) under uncultured bacterium. RNAcentral describes it as "bacterial SSU rRNA". It matches the Rfam family "Bacterial small subunit ribosomal RNA", at positions 30 to 420 of the family's 1533-position model. The record is from RNAcentral.